GAUCAUGGCUCAGAUUGAACGCUGGCGGCAUGCCUUACACAUGCAAGUCGAACGGCAGCACGGGGGCAACCCUGGUGGCGAGUGGCGAACGGGUGAGUAACAUAUCGGAACAUACCCUAGAGUGGGGGAUAACGUAGCGAAAGUUACGCUAAUACCGCAUACGAUCUAAGGAUGAAAGUGGGGGGAUCUUCGGACCUCAUGCUCAUGGAGUGGCCGAUAUCUGAUUAGCUAGUUGGUGAGGUAAAGGCUCACCAAGGCGACGAUCAGUAGCUGGUUUGAGAGAACGACCAGCCACACUGGAACUGAGACACGGUCCAGACUCCUACGGGAGGCAGCAGUGGGGAAUUUUGGACAAUGGGGGCAACCCCGAUCCAGCAAUGCCGCGUGAGUGAAGAAGGCCUUCGGGUUGUAAAGCUCUUUUGUCAGGGAAGAAACGGUGAGUUCUAAUACAGCUUGCUAAUGACGGUACCUGAAGAAUAAGCACCGGCUAACUACGUG
Molecule: ribosomal RNA, 498 nt
Filed under: uncultured bacterium
Lineage: Bacteria
Description: bacterial SSU rRNA
Rfam family: Bacterial small subunit ribosomal RNA
Source: RNAcentral